AGGAUGUGGUGGGGGCCAUGAAGGGUUUAAGCAGAAGAGGGACACAUCACAAUCGAUGGGUCGUCUGGGCAGCUGUGGGGUGCACAGACGCGGGGCACCUGCAGGCAGGAACAGUCAGGAAGCUGUUUUCAUUAGUCUAGGCCAGAAAGAGCUAUGAGUUCCUCGCAGUGGCCACAGGGUUAGAGAAGCGAAGAUGGCUCCUCAAGACUUAGAACGCUCUUAAGUCGCUAACCCAUGGGGUGCGGCAGUGGGGGACAGGGCGGGGUCUAAGUUAAAGGCAAGCAGCCGCGCGGCGGGGCUGCCUGCAGACCGCUCCCGCUUACUCGCACCUCUCGGCCUCUGUGGCAGCUCCGUGCUUUUCCUGGGCGUCUCUCUCCUCCCCUGUUGCCCUCUUUUCUGGCUCAGAUCACCUCCGCGGUUUCACUUCUUCAUCUUGCUUAAAGGCCUUGUAGAGGUGGCAGGUUAUCUGGGGCUGCAGCCUGAACAUAGGAAGUCCUCGCCCAGCUUUGUCUAGACGGCUGAGAUCCCCGGCCCGGGCGGAGGCCCCUUGGGCCCCUCUGGGUCCUUGACAUCGUUCGUGGAGCCUCAGCAGGUCUGUCCCCCGGGAAGCCAAGGUGGGACAUCAGCCUGGCGGCUGGCCAAGUCAUGGAGAACCGCCUGCCCAUCUUUGAGCCAUAACACUCACGCUGGAAGUCAACAAGGGAAAUGGAAAGGCAGAGACCAACCUCCUCCGCGGGCACGCGCCCUGGGACCCAUGCCAGCGCGCAUGCGGCUUCCGGAAUUGGGAACCGCAAUAUCUUUCUGUUGGGCAGCGCUGUUCCAGCCACUGUGUUUGUGCAACAAUGCAGCGGGCUGUCUCACCAGGCGGUCAGCCUCCCCUCACUGGAGAUGUUAACGAAAGGCAUUGGUAAUAGACUUCUUGUAGCAAGAUGGAUGAACUCCGUAAUCCCUCCAGCUCUGACUCAACCAUGGUUCCCAGUCAGUGCCUUCAAAUAUGAAUAGAUGGUACAGGAAAAAAAGAUUGAUGAUCAACUUAACACGGGAAAUUCUUGAUUGAAAAAAAGUUGAGUUCCUUCGUUCCAAGUCUUCUCAGAACCUUCUAGACACAAAAGUGCACCAUGGUUUUUGUGACGGGGACACUGUCAGAGGCAUUCCCC
This 1157-nucleotide long non-coding RNA is filed under the name Equus caballus (horse). RNAcentral describes it as "lncRNA (ENSECAG00000051602.1)". The record is from RNAcentral. Lineage: Eukaryota; Metazoa; Chordata; Mammalia; Perissodactyla; Equidae.